This 289-nucleotide unclassified non-coding RNA is filed under the name Hevea brasiliensis (rubber tree). Lineage: Eukaryota; Viridiplantae; Streptophyta; Magnoliopsida; Malpighiales; Euphorbiaceae. The record is from RNAcentral.
ACACACACACACACACACAAAAGGGGGGGAAAAGUUACAAAUGGAUCUAUCACAGUUAACCAUGUCAUAAAUACAUUAAUUCUGCAUGGCCACGUAAUCCGUGACACACAUGAUUAUCUUAUCAAAAUUGUCACAUUAUUAUAAUACAAACAUGAUUAAGGCACGAACUCUUAAACAUCAUGUUCCAUUUCAAUUGUUUAAUCGGAUUCAAUAUAAUCAUCUCCACCUGCAAGUUUACCAUGCAUUUGUCUUACUUAUUUUGGGCCACGCAUGUACAUUUAGGAACAAG